This 433-nucleotide ribosomal RNA is filed under the name uncultured bacterium. RNAcentral's name for it is "partial 16S ribosomal RNA". It matches the Rfam family "Bacterial small subunit ribosomal RNA", at positions 29 to 507 of the family's 1533-position model. The record is from RNAcentral.
AACGAACGCUGGCGGCAUGCCUAACACAUGCAAGUCGAACGAGACCUUCGGGUCUAGUGGCGUACGGGUGCGUAACGCGUGGGAACCUGCCCUUAGGUUCGGAAUAACUCCCCGAAAGGGGUGCUAAUACCGGAUAAUGUCUUCGGACCAAAGAUUUAUCGCCUUUGGAUGGGCCCGCGUUGGAUUAGCUAGUUGGUAGGGUAAAAGCCUACCAAGGCGACGAUCCAUAGCUGGUCUGAGAGGAUGAUCAGCCACACUGGGACUGAGACACGGCCCAGACUCCUACGGGAGGCAGCAGUGGGGAAUAUUGGACAAUGGGCGAGAGCCUGAUCCAGCAAUGCCGCGUGAGUGAUGAAGGCCUUAGGGUUGUAAAGCUCUUUUACCCGGGAUGAUAAUGACAGUACCGGGAGAAUAAGCUCCGGCUAACUCCGUG